GGCGCACGGGUGAGUAACGCGUAUCCAACCUGCCUUGUACAGGGAGAUAACAGUUGGAAACGGCUGCUAAUACCGCAUAAGCGCACGGCAUCGCAUGAUGCAGUGUGAAAAACUCCGGUGGUAUAAGAUGGACCCGCGUUGGAUUAGCUAGUUGGCGAGGUAACGGCCCACCAAGGCGACGAUCCAUAGCCGACCUGAGAGGGUGACCGGCCACAUUGGGACUGAGACACGGCCCAAACUCCUACGGGAGGCAGCAGUGGGGAAUAUUGCACAAUGGGCGAAAGCCUGGUGCAGCGACGCCGCGUGAGCGAAGAAGUAUUUCGGUAUGUAAAGCUCUAUCAGCAGGGAAGAUAAUGACGGUACCUGACUAAGAAGCACCGGCUAAAUACGUGCCAGCAGCCGCGGUAAUACGUAUGGUGCAAGCGUUAUCCGGAUUUACUGGGUGUAAAGGGAGCGCAGGCGGUGCGGCAAGUCUGAUGUGAAAGCCCGGGGCUCAACCCCGGUACUGCAUUGGAAACUGUCGUACUAGAGUGUCGGAGGGGUAAGCGGAAUUCCUAGUGUAGCGGUGAAAUGCGUAGAUAUUAGGAGGAACACCAGUGGCGAAGGCGGCUUACUGGACGAUAACUGACGCUGAGGCUCGAAAGCGUGGGGAGCGAACAGGAUUAGAUACCCUGGUAGUCCACGCGGUAAACGAUGAAUGCUAGGUGUAGGGGGUAUCGACCCCUCCUGUGCCGGAGUAAACGCAAUAAGCAUUCCGCCUGGGGAGUACGGCCGCAAGGUUGAAACUCAAAGGAAUUGACGGGGGCCCGCACAAGCAGCGGAGCAUGUGGUUUAAUUCGACGCAACGCGAAGAACCUUACCAGGUCUUGACAUCGAUGUAAAGCCCAAGAGAUUGGGUGUCUCUUCGGAGGACAGAAGACAGGUGGUGCAUGGUUGUCGUCAGCUCGUGUCGUGAGAUGUUGGGUUAAGUCCCGCAACGAGCGCAACCCUUAUGGUCAGUUACUACGCAAGAGGACUCUGGCCAGACUGCCGUUGACAAAACGGAGGAAGGUGGGGAUGACGUCAAAUCAUCAUGCCCUUUAUGACUUGGGCUACACACGUACUACAAUGGCGUUAAACAAAGAGAAGCAAGACCGCGAGGUGGAGCAAAACUCAGAAACAACGUCCCAGUUCGGACUGCAGGCUGCAACUCGCCUGCACGAAGUCGGAAUUGCUAGUAAUCGCAGAUCAGCAUGCUGCGGUGAA
RNAcentral lists this ribosomal RNA (1245 nucleotides) under uncultured bacterium. RNAcentral describes it as "bacterial SSU rRNA". It matches the Rfam family "Bacterial small subunit ribosomal RNA", at positions 97 to 1366 of the family's 1533-position model. The record is from RNAcentral.